This 393-nucleotide ribosomal RNA is filed under the name Triticum aestivum (bread wheat). RNAcentral describes it as "partial small subunit ribosomal RNA". The record is from RNAcentral. Lineage: Eukaryota; Viridiplantae; Streptophyta; Magnoliopsida; Poales; Poaceae.
AUGGUAAAUGAGGCAAAUGCUGAAGCUGCAAUUCCAGUGGCGAAUUUAUCUUCUACAAAAAUUCCUUCUCAUUCUUUUGGUUUAUCCCCUUCAACGACGCAGUGCACAAUUCCUGAUGUUGGCUCUUCUUUGAAGCCCUCAGCUGGUCUUAUUAAGAAAUGCGAACCCAAGGUCGAUGAUAAUGGUUUUCAAAGACCCACUUUUGCUCAGUUAAAUCACACUCUUGGUGUUCAAUGCUAUGUCGAUGUUUCCAAUGGUGAUCCCAAUGAUAAAGAGGUUGAUAAUUCUUCUGGAGGACUGUCACCUCUGGUUCCUAUACGCUUGUGUUUCCAUACCACGGUUAGCAUCUCCCAUUGUACUCCCAUUGUACUCCUUUUUUUGGAACAUUACUAG